This 231-nucleotide ribosomal RNA is filed under the name Serratia marcescens. Its description in RNAcentral is "partial 16S ribosomal RNA". It matches the Rfam family "Bacterial small subunit ribosomal RNA", at positions 1 to 227 of the family's 1533-position model. Lineage: Bacteria; Pseudomonadati; Pseudomonadota; Gammaproteobacteria; Enterobacterales; Yersiniaceae. The record is from RNAcentral.
UUAAUUGAAGAGUUUGAUCAUGGCUCAGAUUGAACGCUGGCGGCAGGCUUAACACAUGCAAGUCGAGCGGUAGCACGGGGGAGCUUGCUCCCUGGGUGACGAGCGGCGGACGGGUGAGUAAUGUCUGGGAAACUGCCUGAUGGAGGGGGAUAACUACUGGAAACGGUAGCUAAUACCGCAUAACGUCGCAAGACCAAAGAGGGGGACCUUCGGGCCUCUUGCCAUCAGAUG